Molecule: long non-coding RNA, 2302 nt
Filed under: Helianthus annuus (common sunflower)
Lineage: Eukaryota; Viridiplantae; Streptophyta; Magnoliopsida; Asterales; Asteraceae
Description: hypothetical non coding rna
Source: RNAcentral
UGUGUUUUCUAUCUUCUUAAAUACGCAUCUGCCGCCUCCUCAAUGAUUCCACUUUCAAAUCCUUCUCAUCCUCAAUGAAUCAUCUUCCAUUUGUUCUUUUCAAGAUCUCCCUCUGCUAAGCACUUUAAUGUUAUCAUCAACGGUGAUAUUUCAAGUGAAGAUCCAAUAGAAUAAAGGGUUAAAAUGUAUCAUCAACGGUUAUAUUUCAAGUGAAGAUCCGAUAGAAUAAAGAGAAAUCGAAGAAAGAGGCGAUCAACAGCGCUUCUGGUGUAUUGGAUCUGUUAAUGGAGGCAUUGAAGAAUGUUUUAUCAACGAGAAGCGAAUUAAAGAUAUAUAUUCUGACUCAAGCUUGAUGGUGCAACUGUUGCGAGGUGUCCCUCAUCGUAACAUGUAGCAGAUAUAGAUGCUAAGGAAUGUCCAGGCGCAUCAUUAAUGCUAUUGAGGAGGUUUGGGUAUGUCGGGCGUAAGCAGAUUUGGACCAUUGGAACUGAACGCUGCAACCACCGGUGAUGAGCAACUGUAAAAUUAGUAGCGAGACAAGAGGAUGCUUGUUUCAAGGGUUGCAAGAAAAUAGAAAUGGUGGAUUAAACAAAGAUUAGGAUUCUAAGGAAAUGACUAUGCAGUUCUUUGAGCAUAGGUUACCAUCUAAAGUUAAAAGUCAAUGAAUGGAGUUAUUUUAGAUGUCGGUAAUAUUAUUUAAUUCUUUGGGUUAUUAGAAUUUCAUCUUCAUUAUUUUUUAUAUAUUUGAAUAUUAUUGUCUUGCUCUAUGGAUUAUAAACACCAUACAUAACUAAAUUUAUUCCUAUUACAAUGGGUUUAGCAUUGGUACCACCAUUGGUACCGCAUAAUAUCAACACCAAUGUUUAUUUUAUAUUUUUAAACACUUAUAAAUUGGUUGGUUCAUUUUAUAAAGGGGACUCGAUUUACUAAGGGAAAUGUUUUGGAAAUUCAAAGGAUAUGCAUCUUUAAAUGGACUCAACUAUCUUUAAAUUGUAUAAACCUGCAUCAGUUAACUUAGAAUCUAUGUUGAAUGAAAUUGGGCCUCUAAAGGUAUGAAGGUUAUUACAUCAUCUUUUUGUUUCAAAUUUGCUUUAAUUAAUCAGGUUUAUAUUCUUUUAUUCCCGGUUGUAUAAUUCAUUCAUGUUUAAGAUUUUUACUAAUUUCCAUUUAUCUUCAUGUUCUUUGUGAGGUAGAUGAGUACAUUUAAUAAAUUUAUUUUUUUUACUUAUAUGCAGGUUUAUAUCCGGCUUUUUGUCUACAAUAUGUAUUUUUUUAAAGUCCUUACGUCUGUUAAUUUGAAGAUCUUGGUAAGUUUAUUAUACAAACACAUCAUUUUUUCGGCAUUUGUUUAUUUGUGGUAUAGUGAUUUAGAUUUUUAUCUAAAGCUAUGAAAAACAUCAUAUUCAUCCAUCGAUUAGUUUGACUUUUUUAAAUAAUUUUGAAUUUCAAAGUUAAUAAAUAAAAUCUUUAUCAAAUUCGAAUCCUUACUUUUGGUAAAUUAAAUAGAAUUAUAUUUCUUCUAUAAUUCUCAAUUAUUAUUGAUAAUAAAUUAAAUUAUCUUACAAUGGAUUCAAAAUUCAAAGAUAACAUCUUUGUAUUAUUGUCAUACGUUUUAUUAUUUCUUUAAAAUUAAAUUUAAAAUCAUCUUUAACAAAUUCUGAUUUUUAUUUUUGGUAAUCAAACAUGUACCAUUCUCAAAAUUUUAUUUUGGGUAACUUUAAAAAAUAACUUUCUCUUAUUUUAGUUUGUAGAAUUUCUUAAAAUAACUCCCCUAAUUUUUAUUAUAUAUACAUGUUCCAAAGCCUCAUCCUCAAAUACGGUUUAGAUUUCUUAAACCUAUAGAAAUAUCAGUUUUCAAAAUGGAACCUCAAAACAUAACCAUGUUGAACAAUCUCAAUCGUUUGUCAAACAACUAUACACUCAAGUUGAAGAUCAUUUCCCUUUGGAGGAAAUGAAAAUGAUGCACGACCGUCCGACUGAAACAUACCGUGUCUACAUGAUAUGUAUGGAUGAAGAGGGUCAACAGAUUUAGGGUAGCUGUAUGCAUAGGAUUUUCCCAAGGCUUCAGGACAGCUGGAUGAAUGUCUUCUGAUAACCAGACAAUCACUUGCACCCAACAAUUCAACCUAUAACUACACCAAAAAUAAUCAGAAGUUAACUUUCAGUUUUUUCACCCAGAUUCAAAAAAGUCAAGAUUGGAACGGGCCUAAGUAUAACUUUAAUUUUAUGAAUUUCAAGGACGUUGUCCAAAAUUGAAUUGAAGUUAAUACCACUGUUGGUAUGUCAUUUAAUUCAACAUGUU